Molecule: long non-coding RNA, 2707 nt
Organism: Polyodon spathula (Mississippi paddlefish)
Lineage: Eukaryota; Metazoa; Chordata; Actinopteri; Acipenseriformes; Polyodontidae
Exons: 4
Source: RefSeq, a predicted model, not a curated record
CGUUUUCUAUCAUGCGCUGCAGUGUGCGCAAAUGUUCCUCUUCGUUUACGCUUGUAUCAAUAGGAUUCCAUCCGGAUUCCUCCCAGCGCCUGGUCGUCCUUCACACAGUUAAAGCAUCACAGGAAGUGGUUGAACAUGGUCACGACAGGCACAAUAUCAAUGCAGUUCGGAAAUGGGAGCUCCCGCUGUAAUGCAUGGCCUCAUGAGAUAAUGUAGAUCACAAUCAGCUGAAGGCAGGGGGAAAGCCGUCAGGCCAAGCCAGCAUCUAGGUAGCACAUUUCAAGUCAGUGUUUCAGUUAAACAUUCAACCAUUUAUGCCUAUUUUGUCCAGGACCAACCAAUUGGAUAUGGACAGUUCCACAGUUAGUUAAAUGAUGUGACAUUAGACGCUUACAAAUACUUUUUUUUAUAACAAAUUGGUUUUAUUUGUAAAAUGUAAAAGAAAUUCAUUAUCUGCAAAUAUAUUUAAGUGCUAAAGCUUUUUUGUCAGUACAGUCAUACAAACUUGUGCUCUACAACGCAAUACUUUAAUUAAACACAAAGCAGAUUUUGUUGGAUUGUCCAAGUUUACGCUUAAAAAAAAUGUAAAUUGGGACAGAUGCUGUUAAGCAGUGCAGGUGUUCUUCAGUUGUAGAAAUGCACUAACCAAUGGUUGAGAGCAGGGGUCUCAGUGCUUUUCAAAUGCUAGCCUUGCCCUUAAACAAGUUGAGCAGGUAAUUCCUGGAAACAUGCUGCAUCUCAGAGGACUCCUCCUGUGUGAAGACAUUCACAUAAUAAAAAAUGUCAGGAGGAGAAUCACAAUACGAGGCUCCAUGCAAGUUCUGUGAGGUGUCUCUGAGAUUGUGACAAGAAGUGAGGAUUGUGAAUGUGGAUUGAGGAAGCUGACAGUCCAUCAGAUACACUUGACAGGUCAUCAGCUUACUGGCUCAGACAAUUACCCCAAACAGAGGGAGCUACAAUACAGUUACAAAGUACAAUUCACACGUACAUACUCUACUGCAUCAUUGAAACCAGCCUCCUGGCUAUAUGUAAUUAAAUACAUUAAAAACAUAUUUAAAUAAGUAUGUACAACUGAACAUUGUGUCUCUUAUACGAUGCAAUAAAUUCAUUACUUGUUCAUAUUCCUUGUACCAUCUGUUUUAUAGUUUUGUUUUAAAAUAAACAGCAUUUGAUGGUUAUUUAUCAUAUAUAUUACAGUGUUGUUAGGAUUAGCCAGACCUUAAAUUAAUUUUGCUGACAAAUUAUACAGGCUGCUCAGAGAAAAUGAACUUACACAUUGAACCUUAGAUCAUGUAAGUAUAUGGUACCGCUUUCCAUUACAGCUACAUUAAAGCAGACAUGGUAUUGAAAAGUGAAUCCCAGAGUAGCGGUGUGCUGAGACUCAUGUUUCCCAUGUCACUACCUUCAAGAUGUAUUUGUCUGCAUGUAUUCAAUUAGUCAAAACAUGCCUGUUCAUUAAUGUGUUCAUUUCAAAAGAAGAAAAGCUGCCCUUCCCUCACCUUUACAAUCGAGUACUAAUCAAAGUCAAUUGACUUUGGCAUUGAGUGUUUUAAAAGCUGAUUGGAAGCGAAUUUUCCUCAUCUGGGACGCUGACAUUUGUAUUGCCAUACUGAAGCUGUAAUCUGUCAAUAAAAAUAUGUUGCAAAACUAGUAAAAGCAGCUGAUUUGUCGUGUAAAUGUGACCUUUAGUUAAACCUAACUGGAGCUACCACUGUGGAAACUGGAAUAUGUAUUUCUUUGUCGAGUUUAAUCAAAGAUAGCACCUUGCCCAGGACUACAAUCCCACAAUCCUCUGCAGAGAUGACACAUUUGUAAGGAAAUUAAAGAAUGUUAUUUCAUAUCACAAGGAUAAAAGAAAGGUAAGAUGAGAAAAUUGUUUAUAAAAUAUGUAUUUGUUUGAUCACGACAAUUUCUAUAUUAAAUAACACUGCCAGAUAGUUAUUGAUUGAUAAUCGAUAAUUGUCUAAACAAGGGAAGCUGAGGGACAGCAUUUGCUUUGUGUUGAGUAAUUAACGUAACAUAUACAGUAAAUAUCCACAGGGUAAACUGAUACCACAAGGAAAUAACAAUGAGAUAAUGUGACGUGUCACAAAAUAAUCAUGUAUUAGAUGCAGCUGGUUCGGUCACGUCAAAAGUACCAUAUUUAAAAAAAAAUAAAAUAACUAUUUGGUUUAAAUGCAGAGAAAUGAAAACAAAUCUACAUGUUAGCUAUCUUAUAUCUACAUGCUAAUAGUUUAUUUCUCUGUUGGGAUGUUGCUACAUGUCUAAUAAUGGAUGUUACCUAUACAGGGACUAUAAAGUAACUUGGCCACUUUGUGCUGUUGUUGGUUUUAAUGUAGAAGCCUUUCUCAAGGUGGCCAUGAUGCAGCAGUAAAUACAGGCCCCGGCUAUAAAGCCCUCUAUAUCAAGUCUUCCAAUUUUAAAUACUUUUUGGGGGUUCUAUAUUCAACUCAUGACAUGGGCAUUUGAAAUAUAACAGCAUUAUAAGAAAUAUGAUAGAUGUAUUAUAUGUGUGACAGUAUAAAAUAAAGCCAGAUAUUUUUUUCAGGGGGCCUCUGUAAAGACUGGAAGUCGGGUAGCUUUAGCCGAACAAGCUCCAUCCAGGUCCUGUGGUCUCAAUCAGGAGAGUUCAAAACACUGAUGCCUCUCUCUGCUACAUAAAGGAAUCCGGCCUUUUUAAUCUUGAAAUUUGAAUGCUCAUCCUGAA